This 65-nucleotide transfer RNA is filed under the name Lethe syrcis. RNAcentral's name for it is "tRNA-Tyr". It matches the Rfam family "tRNA". Rfam says of the family: Transfer RNA (tRNA) molecules are approximately 80 nucleotides in length. Their secondary structure includes four short double-helical elements and three loops (D, anti-codon, and T loops). Further hydrogen bonds mediate the characteristic L-shaped molecular structure. tRNAs have two regions of fundamental functional importance: the anti-codon, which is responsible for specific mRNA codon recognition, and the 3' end, to which the tRNAs corresponding amino acid is attached (by aminoacyl-tRNA synthetases). tRNAs cope with the degeneracy of the genetic code in two manners: having more than one tRNA (with a specific anti-codon) for a particular amino acid; and 'wobble' base-pairing, i.e. permitting non-standard base-pairing at the 3rd anti-codon position. The record is from RNAcentral. Lineage: Eukaryota; Metazoa; Arthropoda; Insecta; Lepidoptera; Nymphalidae.
AGUAAAAUGGCUGAGAAGAAGCGAUAAAUUGUAAAUUUAUUUACGAGAAUAAAUUCUCUUUUACU